GACGAACCGUGCGAACGUUGUUCGGAAUCACUGGGCUUAAAGGGCGCGUAGGCGGGCCCGCAAGUCAGGGGUGAAAUCCCACGGCUCAACCGUGGAAGUGCCUUUGAUACUGCGGGCCUCGAGGGAGGUAGGGGCGUGCGGAACUUCCGGUGGAGCGGUGAAAUGCGUAGAUAUCGGAAGGAACACCGGUGGCGAAAGCGGCGCGCUGGACCUCUACUGACGCUGAGGCGCGAAAGCCAGGGGAGCAAACGGG
Molecule: ribosomal RNA, 253 nt
Filed under: uncultured bacterium
Lineage: Bacteria
Description: partial 16S ribosomal RNA
Rfam family: Bacterial small subunit ribosomal RNA
Source: RNAcentral